Molecule: ribosomal RNA, 253 nt
Filed under: uncultured bacterium
Lineage: Bacteria
Description: partial 16S ribosomal RNA
Rfam family: Bacterial small subunit ribosomal RNA
Source: RNAcentral
UACGAAGGGGGCUAGCGUUGCUCGGAAUCACUGGGCGUAAAGGGUGCGUAGGCGGGUUUUUAAGUCCGAGGUGAAAUCCUGGAGCUCAACUCCAGAACUGCCUUUGAUACUGAGAAUCUUGAGUAUGGGAGAGGUGAGUGGAACUGCGAGUGUAGAGGUGAAAUUCGUAGAUAUUCGCAAGAACACCAGUGGCGAAGGCGGCUCACUGGCCCAUAACUGACGCUGAGGCACGAAAGCGUGGGGAGCAAACAGG